This 75-nucleotide antisense RNA is filed under the name Frankia alni ACN14a. RNAcentral's name for it is "ASpks TB sRNA". It matches the Rfam family "ASpks TB sRNA". The record is from Rfam by way of RNAcentral. Lineage: Bacteria; Bacillati; Actinomycetota; Actinomycetes; Frankiales; Frankiaceae.
CUUCAGCGACCCCAGCCACAGCGGGCGGGCGCGGUCGUGGUCCUCCCCGUACGUGGCCAGCAGCGCCUCCGCCUC